UCUCAAGCAUUCAAUUGCAUUUUAAGAUAUCUUUAUUCAAAUCAAGUGUGAUUACUAUACCAAAAGAUUGAAGAAUGGACCAAUCAACUAACCCAUCAGUACUUGCAAAGUCUCCUUAUCUGUUAGCCCGAAAAUUGAUUUUUAAAAUACCAUUAUUCACAUAACUACUAUAUCAAAACACAAACUAAUGGAUUGAUCAAUGAAACUGCCGCUAUCUCCACAACUUUUCAAUUGAAUAGAAAGUUUCAAUCAAACAGGAUACUGUGUGUGCCUACUGCUCCUUAAGACAAUCGAUAAUGGGAGU
Hydra vulgaris (swiftwater hydra) is the source of this 304-nucleotide long non-coding RNA. RefSeq lists it as uncharacterized. The record is from RefSeq and is a predicted model, not a curated record. NCBI's taxonomy places the organism in Eukaryota, Metazoa, Cnidaria, Hydrozoa, Anthoathecata, Hydridae.